GACGAACGCUGGCGGCGUGGAUUAGGCAUGCAAGUCGAACGGUAUCAUCCUUUCGGGGGUGAGAGAGUGGCGAACUGGUGAGUAACACGUAGGUUAUCUACCCUCAAGACGGGGACAACCCAGGGAAACUUGGGCUAAUACCGGAUGUGAGCAACUUUUAGUUGUUUGAAAGGUGGCGUAAGCUGUCGCUUGGGGAUGAGCCUGCGUCCUAUUAGUUAGUUGGUGAGGUAACGGCUCACCUAGGCAAUGAUAGGUAGGCGGCCUUAACGGGUGGUCGCCCACACUGGGAUUGAGAUACGGCCCAGACUCCUACGGGAGGCAGCAGUCGAGAAUAGUCUACAAUGGUCGGAAGACUGAUAGUGCGACGCCGCGUGAACGAUGAAUCCCUUCGGGGUGUAAAGUUCUUUUAUAUGUGAGCAGUGCUUCUUAAUAUUAACAGUAUGGGGAAGAGAUAUUAGCAUAUGAAUAAGCAACGGCUAACUCCGUGCCAGCAGCCGCGGUAAAACGU
Molecule: ribosomal RNA, 508 nt
Filed under: uncultured bacterium
Lineage: Bacteria
Description: bacterial SSU rRNA
Rfam family: Bacterial small subunit ribosomal RNA
Source: RNAcentral